UUACUUGGAAUAUGAAUCCAUUUAUAAAGACAAUAACUGUAUUUGUGAAGGAGAUAGAAAUAAUUAUUAAAAAGCCUUUUAAAUAGCCACAUUUAGGAACAUCAUCACCAAAUACCUAUUUUACAGAAAUAAUGGUGAUAGAGGAGGAAAUUUUGAACUUUUUUUUAAAUGAAAAGUGCAAAAUAGAAGAGAUUAUCUUUACAUAUACUCAUCACGGAGAAGUUUUGCUAUUUGCAAGAGAUCCUGUAAUUAUGCUACAAGACUUCUUUUACAGAUUAUAAUUUGCAAUUAACUUGCACGCUGAAAUAAACCUGCUGAGAUUCUGUUGUAAAUGAUAAAAGAUAAUGAGAAGUUUAACUUUUUUUUAAUUUUCAAGUUAUCUAAAUAUUGGACAAAAGAAGAACAAAAAUAUGUUAUUUGAGUUUCUUAGCAGUUUCAGCAGUCAAAUAAAUGUUGCUACAGUGUCUUCAGUCAUCUCCUACUUCUUGAGCUUACUUCUUUAACUUAUGUUAACCAUCAAAAUUGACAGUAGAAAAAUAAAACCAGCAGGUGUGAUUGUCCUUUCAUUCUUUAGGUAGAAUUACCCAUAAAUAUUUCUAAUAAAAGUGGUUUGUUUUCUUAGACAUUUAUUUAAGAAUGUGUGUGUAAGCAGAAGUGCAUGGCAGCACUAAGAAACCGACAGGAUGUCUGAUAUCAUACAUUGUGACAGCAUGGCUUUCAAAUCUGGUGUUCCAAACGGGUUCCAACUCGAAAUCAAUUUUCAAAUGGAAUGGGUUUCAUUUUGCUCUUCAUAGGAUUUAUUUAGCAUUUCCCUUUCAGUGCCAAAGUCAAACAGGCAGCCGAGCGGACGGUCCUGGCUUUGUUCCUCAGUCUGGCUGCUCACGAGGUGUCCUGCAAUUCACGCUGGGAAUCGUUGCACGGCAGAAGCGCACUGUGACACUCUGGACUUAUGCAAUGAACGUUUAAAGCUGUGUUGUGUCAAUGAGUGUUGAUUUUUCCACAGGACCAUCUGCUCAGCCGUGGUAACGCUGAUGCGGUGUGACGGGGCUGUCGUGCGGUUGGUUACCAGUCAUGGAAACCCGCCGUCACUGCAGCCGAAUUAGAAGUGAUCCCUGGAGGUGUGUAGGACGGGAAGCGCCUCCUGCUUUGGGGCGGCUCCGUGUUGGAUUCGAUCCUCUCGGGUCCCUUUCAGCUCAGGACUGAUUCCUGUCAGCGCUGGUACCUUACGGAUACUGCUUCUACCCUCAGCAUCUUUAAAUGCUGCUGUGAGGAGAAGAAUCCGUAAUUGGCCGCGCGUUUUAACAUUUCAAAAAGGAUUUUUAAGGCUUAGAACCGCUACUCAAGCACGCUUCCCAACGCGCCCCUCACAGCGGGCGGGACGUCAUCAGCGCGCGCCGCUUCCCGCGCGCCAUCACAGCGGAGCGUGACGUCAUCAUUACGCGCCUCAUCGCAGCGAGGCCGUACGUCAUCAGUGCGCGCAGCGCCGGUCACGUGUCCCUUGUUUACCUCUGGCGGGAGUUGCGCCGCUGCGGGCUGUGAGCGGGCGGCUUCCCUGGGAGGAGGGGAAGCACCUCGCGGCGAGGGCAGGCUUCCAAUGUCGCUGCCAACAAAGAGGUGUGGAAGACCCCCGGUGUUGUCUUUUUUGGAAAAGAAAAAGAGAAAGCAAAGUCUUGAUAGGAGGAGAGGGAAAACCAGGAUUUAUGUUGGAAAUCAUAUUGACCGAUGGCUGACACUGAAGGAAAAACUGGAUUUCAGAAACGAUGCAGAAGUUGCUGGGUUUUUAUUGGACUUGUAUGACAGCUAUGACCCACUGACAAAAGCUCCCAUCUGUUCCCUCCCCAGGGAUGUGAGAAGAAUUACUGUGAAAGAAGACAGAACACUGUCAGACAGUGCUUGCUUAAUAGCAGCUGACGGAACGUAUGAUGAUGGUGACCAGCUGUCUAAAGCGGCUGCUUGUUCUGAAUAUGGAGACUUCAAAAUUGUCACUGUGAAAGAAGAGCGAGAGAUGCCACCUCAUUGCUCAUCAGUGGAGACAGAUAACACGUUAGUGAUACCAUGGGAUUCUGUUUGCAUGUUUUACAUUUGAAAAUGUUUUGUAUUGACUUUUAUUAUCACUUUUAAUUUAGCUUAUCAGAAGGUCACAUCAUUCAAUUCAUGCUUUGUUUCCUUACUUGAAAGGGGAUGAUCACUCCAGUCACUGUGAGGGAAGCAUCUGGGAGAGUUUUUGGAAGAGUUGUUUCUUAGAGUUUACGCAGCAAACUUCUUGUUCAGUGACUUGUCUUCCUGAAAUCUGUGAAUGGAACAAGAAAAUAGCUGAUACAUGUGAAAUAUUGGCUGCCUUAGUAAAUAACGAGGUUUUCAGUCAUGCAGUGUACAGACACGUGUAUGCUUUAACAUUUUAGAAAAGAAAAAUGUUUCUUUGUUGACUGUUCGAGUGAUAACACAUACGAAGUGAUGCAUAAACCUAUUUAGAAGUAGUGCUGUGCUCAAGGAGGCAACCACGCCAUCAGUCGACUGCUGAUGUCUUUUACUGCAGUGUCAUCAGUAACUGAGGCAUUCACAGUUGAGAGAUCAGAGGAGCCUCAAAUAGGGGGACACUGAGAUCCUAGGACAUUGCAUUGGCAUUGCAUGGUGUGUCCAAACCCUUCGCUAAUAUGAAGUGAAUAUGUUGGGCUUCUGGAAGUAAUUCAUUGGCUCAGAAGAAUUACUGGAAGCUCGAUCAGGAGAAAAGAAAUACCAGUGCUGAUGAAGCUGAAAAUUUCAAGUUAAUUCUUCAAAACAGCACUUUUCUGGGACAACAUAGUUUUAGGUUGGAGUGCUGCAAUACUUUAAUUCCUGGGACUGACUUUCUACAGGGUAACCAGCAAGAAGAAAAUCAAGCACUUGAAUAAUGACUUUGAGGCAGUUCUUGGUCCUUUUUGGUUUUGCUGUGAGGAUUUUGUGAGUUACAGAGAAUGACUAUAUGUUCUAGUACGAAAUCCCAUGUAAUUUGUAAUAAACUAAUUAAACUUUAAUUACCUAAA
Non-coding RNA from Phasianus colchicus (ring-necked pheasant), 3023 nucleotides. Lineage: Eukaryota; Metazoa; Chordata; Aves; Galliformes; Phasianidae. The record is from RefSeq and is a predicted model, not a curated record.